This 497-nucleotide ribosomal RNA is filed under the name uncultured bacterium. Its description in RNAcentral is "partial 16S ribosomal RNA". It matches the Rfam family "Bacterial small subunit ribosomal RNA", at positions 28 to 507 of the family's 1533-position model. The record is from RNAcentral.
GAUGAACGCUGGCGGCGUGCCUAAUACAUGCAAGUCGAGCGAACGGACGAGAAGCUUGCUUCUCUGAUGUUAGCGGCGGACGGGUGAGUAACACGUGGAUAACCUACCUAUAAGACUGGGAUAACUUCGGGAAACCGGAGCUAAUACCGGAUGAUAUUUUGAACCGCAUGGUUCAAAAGUGAAAGACGGUCUUGCUGUCACUUAUAGAUGGAUCCGCGCUGCAUUAGCUAGUUGGUAAGGUAACGGCUUACCAAGGCAACGAUGCAUAGCCGACCUGAGAGGGUGAUCAGCCACCCUGGAACUGAGACACGGUCCAGACUCCUACGGGAGGCAGCAGUAGGGAAUCUUCCGCAAUGGGCGAAAGCCUGACGGAGCAACGCCGCGUGAGUGAUGAAGGUCUUCGGAUCGUAAAACUCUGUUAUUAGGGAAGAACAUAUGUGUAAGUAACUGUGCACAUCUUGACGGUACCUAAUCAGAAAGCCACGGCUAACUACGUG